GGGGAAUAUUGCACAAUGGGGGAAACCCUGGAUGCAGCGACGCCGCGUGAGUGAAGAAGUAAUUCGUUACGUAAAGCUCUAUCAGGCAGGGAAGAAAUGACGGUACCUGAGUAAGAAGCCCCGGCUAACUAC
RNAcentral lists this ribosomal RNA (132 nucleotides) under uncultured bacterium. RNAcentral's name for it is "partial 16S ribosomal RNA". It matches the Rfam family "Bacterial small subunit ribosomal RNA", at positions 356 to 504 of the family's 1533-position model. The record is from RNAcentral.